This 420-nucleotide ribosomal RNA is filed under the name uncultured bacterium. RNAcentral's name for it is "partial 16S ribosomal RNA". It matches the Rfam family "Bacterial small subunit ribosomal RNA", at positions 361 to 773 of the family's 1533-position model. The record is from RNAcentral.
AUUUUGGACAAUGGGGGCAACCCUGAUCCAGCCAUCCCGCGUGUGCGGUGAAGUCCUUCGGGUUGUAAAGCACUUUUGGCCGGGAAGAACAGGCUCUGGCUAAUACCUGGAGCUGCUGUCGGUACCUGCUGCAUAAGCACCGGCUAACUACGUGCCAGCAGCCGCGGUAAUACGUAGGGUGCAAGCGUUAAUCGGAAUUACUGGGCGUAAAGCGUGCGCAGGCGGUUCGGCAAGAAGGAUGUGAAAUCCCAGGGAUUAACCUUGGAACUGCAUUCUUAACUGCCGGGCUAGAGUAUGUCAGAGGGGGGUAGAAUUCCGCGUGUAGCAGUGAGAUGCGUAGAGAUGCGGAGGAAUACCGAUGGCGAAGGCAGCCCCCUGGGAUAAUACUGACGCUCAUGCACGAAAGCGUGGGGAGCAAAC